This 440-nucleotide ribosomal RNA is filed under the name uncultured bacterium. Its description in RNAcentral is "partial 16S ribosomal RNA". It matches the Rfam family "Bacterial small subunit ribosomal RNA", at positions 338 to 795 of the family's 1533-position model. The record is from RNAcentral.
CCUACGGGAGGCAGCAGUGGGGAAUAUUGCACAAUGGGGGAAACCCUGAUGCAGCGACGCCGCGUGAGUGAAGAAGUAUUUCGGUAUGUAAAGCCCUAUCAGCAGGGAAGCAAAUGACGGUACCUGAUUAAGAAGCCCCGGGGAACUACGUGCCAGCAGCCGCGGUAAUACGGAGGGGGCAAGCGUUAUCCGGAUUUACGGGGUGUAAAGGGAGCGUAGACGGCAGCGCAAGUCUGAAGUGAAAUGGCGGGGGUUAAACCCGGAACUGCUUUGGAAACUGUGCAGCUAGAGUGCAGGAGAGGUAAGCGGAAUGCCUGGUGUAGCGGUGAAAUGCGUAGAUAUCAGGAAGAACACCAGUGGCGAAGGCGGCUUACUGGACUGUAACUGACGUUGAGGCUCGAAAGCGUGGGGAGCGAACAGGAUUAGAUACCCGUGUAGUC